This 423-nucleotide ribosomal RNA is filed under the name Xenodon neuwiedii. RNAcentral's name for it is "partial 16S ribosomal RNA". It matches the Rfam family "Bacterial large subunit ribosomal RNA", at positions 1911 to 2550 of the family's 2925-position model. The record is from RNAcentral. Lineage: Eukaryota; Metazoa; Chordata; Lepidosauria; Squamata; Dipsadidae.
AGUGAACAAUUAAACGGCCGCGGUACUCUAACCGUGCAAAGGUAGCAUAAUCAUUUGUCUACUAAUUAUAGACUAGAAUGAAAGGCCAAAUGAGGGUUUAACUGUCUCUUAUAGUAAAUCAAUUAAACUGAUCUACCAGUAAAAAAGCUGGAAUACACACACAAGACCAGAAGACCCUGUGAAGCUUAAACCNAACUAUUAAACUAUAUAAUAGCUACUUUCGGUUGGGGCGACCUUGGAAAAAAAAAGAACUUCCAAACAUAAUAAUUAUCUAUUAUUACCCUAGGCCAACAAGCCAUAAUAUUUGACCCAGCACAGCUGAUAAUUGAACCAAGUUACUCCAGGGAUAACAGCGCCAUCUUCCUCAAGAGCCCAUAUCAAAAGGAAGGUUUACGACCUCGAUGUUGGAUCAGGACAUCCUAA